GUGGGGAAUAUUGGGCAAUGGGCGGAAGCCUGACCCAGCGACGCCGCGUGGGGGAAGAAGUCUUUCGGGAUGUAAACCCUUGUUGUACGGGACGAAGGAAGUGACGGUACCGUACGAGGAAGCCCCGGCAAACUACGUGCCAGCAGCCGCGGUAAUACGUAGGGGGCGAGCGUUGUCCGGAAUCACUGGGCGUAAAGCGCACGUAGGCGGGCUGUCAAGUCGGCCGUGAAAGGCACGGGCUCAACCUGUGCAUGUCGGUCGAUACUGGCGGUCUGGAGUAUGGGAGAGGGAACUGGAAUUCCCGGUGUAGCGGUGAAAAGCGUAGAUAUCGGGGGGAACACCAGUGGCGAAGGCGGGUUCCUGGCCCAUGACUGACGCUGAGGUGCGAAAGCCGGGGGAGCGAACGGGAUUAGAAACCCUAGUAGUCC
Molecule: ribosomal RNA, 428 nt
Filed under: uncultured bacterium
Lineage: Bacteria
Description: partial 16S ribosomal RNA
Rfam family: Bacterial small subunit ribosomal RNA
Source: RNAcentral